RNAcentral lists this ribosomal RNA (253 nucleotides) under uncultured bacterium. Its description in RNAcentral is "partial 16S ribosomal RNA". It matches the Rfam family "Bacterial small subunit ribosomal RNA", at positions 524 to 776 of the family's 1533-position model. The record is from RNAcentral.
UACAGAGGUCCCAAGCGUUGUUCGGAUUCACUGGGCGUAAAGGGUGCGUAGGUGGUGGGGUAAGUCUGAUGUGAAAUCUUCGAGCUUAACUCGGAAAUGGCAUUGGAUACUACUCUGCUAGAGGUUUGGAGGGGGGACUGGAAUUCUCGGUGUAGCAGUGAAAUGCGUAGAUAUCGAGAGGAACACCAGUGGCGAAGGCGAGUCCCUGGACAACACUUGACACUGAGGCACGAAAGCGAGGGGAGCAAACAGG